UACGGAGGGGGCUAGCGUUGUUCGGAAUUAUUGGGCGUAAAGGGCGCGUAGGCGGCCGGAUAAGUCUGACGUGAAAUCCCUCGGCCUAACCGGGGAACUGCGUUUGAAAUUGUCCAGCUCGAGUCCGGGAGAGGGUAGUGGAAUUCCCAGUGUAGCGGUGAAAUGCGUAGAUGUUGGGAGGAACACCGGUGGCGAAGGCGGCCACCUGGACCGGUACUGACGCUGAGGCGCGAAAGCCAGGGGAGCAAACAGG
This 253-nucleotide ribosomal RNA is filed under the name uncultured bacterium. RNAcentral's name for it is "partial 16S ribosomal RNA". It matches the Rfam family "Bacterial small subunit ribosomal RNA", at positions 524 to 776 of the family's 1533-position model. The record is from RNAcentral.